RNAcentral lists this ribosomal RNA (252 nucleotides) under uncultured bacterium. RNAcentral describes it as "partial 16S ribosomal RNA". It matches the Rfam family "Bacterial small subunit ribosomal RNA", at positions 524 to 776 of the family's 1533-position model. The record is from RNAcentral.
UACGUAGGUGGCAAGCGUUAUCCGGAUUUACUGGGUGUAAAGGGUGCGUAGGCGGGCUUUUAAGUCAGCGGUAAAAAUUCGGGGCUCAACCCCGUCCGGCCGUUGAAACUGGGGGCCUUGAGUGGGCGAGAAGAAGGCGGAAUGCGUGGUGUAGCGGUGAAAUGCAUAGAUAUCACGCAGAACCCCGAUUGCGAAGGCAGCCUUCCGGCGCCCUACUGACGCUGAGGCACGAAAGUGCGGGGAUCGAACAGG